UUUGAGAUGAUGAGUGGCAUUGAUGCUUCAAGGAGAAACUGUGUUUCAUUCUUGUUGCCUGAACUAUUUGUUAUGUUGACAUAAACAGAUGCUCAGGGGCCAUCUGAUCAAA
Small nucleolar RNA from Dendronephthya gigantea, 112 nucleotides. RefSeq annotates it as small nucleolar RNA SNORD67. Lineage: Eukaryota; Metazoa; Cnidaria; Anthozoa; Malacalcyonacea; Nephtheidae. The record is from RefSeq and is a predicted model, not a curated record. The transcript has a single exon.